ACAGCAGUAGCCACGGUAAUACGAAGGGUGCAAGCGUUAAUCGGAAUUACUGGGCGUAAAGCGUGCGUAGGCGGUGAGCUAAGUCUGCUGUGAAAUCCCCGGGCUCAACCUGGGAAUGGCAGUGGAUACUGGCUCGCUAGAGUGUGUCAGAGGAUGGUGGAAUUCCCGGUGUAGCGGUGAAAUGCGUAGAGAUCGGGAGGAACAUCAGUGGCGAAGGCGGCCAUCUGGGACAACACUGACGCUGAGGCACGAAAGCGUGGGGAGCAAACAGGAUUAGAGACCCGAGUAGUCCCUGUCUCUUAUAC
RNAcentral lists this ribosomal RNA (305 nucleotides) under uncultured bacterium. Its description in RNAcentral is "partial 16S ribosomal RNA". It matches the Rfam family "Bacterial small subunit ribosomal RNA", at positions 505 to 807 of the family's 1533-position model. The record is from RNAcentral.